GAUGAACGCUAGCGGCAGGCCUAAUACAUGCAAGUCGAACGGUAAGUAUUUUAGCAAUAGAAUACGAGAGUGACGUACGGGUGCGUAACACGUAUGCAACCUACCCUUUACAGGAGGAUAGCUCGGGGAAACUCGAAUUAACCCUCCAUGAGAUCACGGUGUGGCAUCACACAGUGAUUAAAACUCCGGUGGUAAAGGAUGGGCAUGCGUCUGAUUAGUUAGUUGGCGGGGUAACGGCCCACCAAGACGAUGAUCAGUAGGGGAACUGAGAGGUUGAUCCCCCACACUGGCACUGAGAUACGGGCCAGACUCCUACGGGAGGCAGCAGUAGGGAAUAUUGGUCCAUGGAUGGAAGUCUGAACCAGCCAUGCCGCGUGCAGGAAGAAGGCCUUCUGGGUUGUAAACUGCUUUUGCCAGGGGAUAAAAAGACCAUGCGUGGUUAAUUGAAGGUACCUGGUGAAUAAGCCACGGCUAACUACGUGCCAGCAGCCGCGGUAAUACGGU
Molecule: ribosomal RNA, 504 nt
Filed under: uncultured bacterium
Lineage: Bacteria
Description: bacterial SSU rRNA
Rfam family: Bacterial small subunit ribosomal RNA
Source: RNAcentral